This 429-nucleotide ribosomal RNA is filed under the name Bacteroidota bacterium. RNAcentral describes it as "Bacteroidetes bacterium partial 16S ribosomal RNA". It matches the Rfam family "Bacterial small subunit ribosomal RNA", at positions 355 to 776 of the family's 1533-position model. The record is from RNAcentral. Lineage: Bacteria; Pseudomonadati; Bacteroidota.
UAGGGAAUCUUCCGCAAUGGACGCAAGUCUGACGGAGCAACGCCGCGUGAGUGAAGAAGGAUUUCGGUUCGUAAAACUCUGUUGUUAGAGAAGAACAGCGCAUAGAGUAACUGUUAUGCGUGUGACGGUAUCUAACCAGAAAGCCACGGCUAACUACGUGCCAGCAGCCGCGGUAAUACGUAGGUGGCAAGCGUUGUCCGGAUUUAUUGGGCGUAAAGCGAGCGCAGGCGGUCAAUUAAGUCUGAUGUGAAAGCCCCCGGCUCAACCGGGGAAAGUCAUUGGAAACUGGUUGACUUGAGUGCAGAAGAGGAGGGUGGAAUUCCAUGUGUAGCGGUGAAAUGCGUAGAUAUAUGGAGGAACACCAGUGGCGAAGGCGACUCUCUAGUCUGUAACUGACGCUGAGGCUCGAAAGCGUGGGUAGCAAACAGG